RNAcentral lists this ribosomal RNA (229 nucleotides) under uncultured bacterium. RNAcentral's name for it is "partial 16S ribosomal RNA". It matches the Rfam family "Bacterial small subunit ribosomal RNA", at positions 568 to 796 of the family's 1533-position model. The record is from RNAcentral.
UGCGUAGGCGGAAUGAUAAGUUAGUGGUGAAAUCCCUCGGCUCAACCGAGGAACUGCCAUUAAUACUGUCAUUCUUGAGUAUAGUUGAAGUGGGCGGAAUGUAUCAUGUAGCGGUGAAAUGCUUAGAUAUGAUACAGAACACCGAUAGCGUAGGCAGCUUGCUAAACUAUAACUGACGCUCAGGCACGAAAGCGUGGGGAGCAAACAGGAUUAGAUACCCUGGUAGUCC